GACGAACGCUGGCGGCGUGCUUAAAACAUGCAAGUCGAACGGAAAGGCCCUGCUUUUGUGGGGUGCUCGAGUGGCGAACGGGUGAGUAACACGUGAGUAACCUGCCCUUGACUUUGGGAUAACUUUAGGAAACUGGGGCUAAUACCGGAUAGGAGCUCCUGCUGCAUGGUGGGGGGUGGAAAGUUUCGGCGGGUGGGGAUGGACUCGCGGCUUAUCAGCUUGUUGGUGGGGUAGUGGCUUACCAAGGCUUUGACGGGUAGCCGGCCUGAGAGGGUGACCGGCCACAUUGGGACUGAGAUACGGCCCAGACUCCUACGGGAGGCAGCAGUGGGGAAUAUUGCACAAUGGGCGGAAGCCUGAUGCAGCAACGCCGCGUGCGGGAUGACGGCCUUCGGGUUGUAAACCGCUUUCGCCUGUGACGAAGCGUGAGUGACGGUAAUGGGUAAAGAAGCACCGGCUAACUACGUG
Molecule: ribosomal RNA, 468 nt
Filed under: uncultured bacterium
Lineage: Bacteria
Description: partial 16S ribosomal RNA
Rfam family: Bacterial small subunit ribosomal RNA
Source: RNAcentral